Molecule: long non-coding RNA, 447 nt
Filed under: Elaeis guineensis (African oil palm)
Lineage: Eukaryota; Viridiplantae; Streptophyta; Magnoliopsida; Arecales; Arecaceae
Description: long non-coding RNA (EGUI_LNC058999)
Source: RNAcentral
UAGAUGUACUAUUAAGAGUUAACAGUUUAAACUCUAAGUCAUCUCGGCAUCAAGGAUCAAAGGGAUGAAUUAUAUAGUAACUAUAUCCAAAUAGGUUCUUGAGUAUUAUUUUGCAUACAUUCAGCCUAUCCAGACGUCGGAUAUCAUUGCUAGAUGGUUACUCCGAUUGGUACAAGAAUCAAUUUCUGUGCUACUGGCUUAGGUUUGAAUCUAUGGGGUCACACAUAUUAGAAGCUUCUCUCCAAUCACAUGGCUAAUUUGAAGAGUCUCAAUGAACAAAAAUCCUAGUGAAGAGUCCCACUAGACGAAAACUCUAGAGAAGAGUCCCACUAGACUUAGACUCUAUCAUUAAUAUAGGAUUAAUUAGUGAUUAGAUCAUUAAUUAGCUCAAUUUGAUUGAACAUUAAAGUCUGGAUCAAGUUUGAUUGAAUUGGAUUCAAUCAGGUC